This 66-nucleotide transfer RNA is filed under the name Eurhadina cuii. Its description in RNAcentral is "tRNA-Ser". The record is from RNAcentral. Lineage: Eukaryota; Metazoa; Arthropoda; Insecta; Hemiptera; Cicadellidae.
AAGAGUUAAUGAUAAAAAAUAGCUGCUAACUAAUUUUUUAAGCGGUUUAAAUCCGUUAAACUCUUA